UAAGGAAUAUUGGUCAAUGGACGGAAGUCUGAACCAGCCAUCCCGCGUGCAGGAUGAAGGUCCUAUGGAUUGUAAACUUCUUUUGCUUGGGAAGAAAUCUGGACAUUUAUGUGCAGUUGACGGUACCUUGCGAAUAAGCACCGGCUAACUCCGUGCCAGCAGCCGCGGUAAUACGGAGGAUGCAAGCGUUAUCCGGAAUCACUGGGUUUAAAGGGUGCGUAGGCGGAUUAAUAAGUCAGUGGUGAAAUCCUGUCGCUUAACGAUAGAACCUGCCAUUGAUACAUGAUAUGUCUUGAAUUCGGGUUGAGGUGGGCGGAAUGUANNCAUGUAGCGGUGAAAUGCGUAGAUAUGCUACAGAACACCGAUUGCGAAGGCAGCUCACUGGACUACAUCUGACGCUAAUGGACGAAAGCGUGGGUAGCGAACAGGAUUAGAUACCCUGGUAGUCCACGCCCUAAACGAUGUUAACUCGAUAUUUAUUCUUCGGAGUGAGUGUCCAAGCGAAAGCGUUAAGUUAACCACCUGGGGAGUACGUUCGCAAGAAUG
RNAcentral lists this ribosomal RNA (546 nucleotides) under uncultured Haliscomenobacter sp. Its description in RNAcentral is "bacterial SSU rRNA". It matches the Rfam family "Bacterial small subunit ribosomal RNA", at positions 355 to 896 of the family's 1533-position model. Lineage: Bacteria; Pseudomonadati; Bacteroidota; Saprospiria; Saprospirales; Haliscomenobacteraceae. The record is from RNAcentral.